UUGCGCAAGACGGGAAAUAGUUAUUGCUUUGCGUGGAAGUGUUUGUUAAUAGAGCCUGUAAAACAGUUCUAAGAAUUACCACACAGCAAGUUGAAAACCAUAUAUGGAAAAGGUUAUCUAAAGGUAACCGAGGAAGACUUCAGCCUUCAGCCUCAACGACCAUCAGGAGGCAGAAAAAGACCCCCUAACAACAACCGAGACAUGCGCAGAUUGCUCCACGAAUGCGGAACUGAAGGACUGAUAAAAAGAGGGUGUUUCAAAUGAGAGGCGCGGCAGUUGGCGGAACAUAGACUCCCCUGCCGCCCAGCGCUGUCUUUGCUCAUAUUCUACUUGCUACAAUUAAUAAAUUUUUAUUGGAUUAUGAUCCAUUGUGGUCUCAAUUUAUAACAAUUCUUGGUGCCGUGACUCGGAUAAGGAACGGUAGACUUUGGUCCUCCGGGGAGGCGCGCCCCGCGACAAUUCGCGGCCCUGCGACCAACAGCCUACUUCAACCUUACCGACGAACCUAAAUUUUAGAAUAGUGAGCAAAGGAAAACCGGUAAAAUCCCAUAAAAUUUCUGUGCACGGGAGUCCGGACGAAGACGCAGGACGCUUAAAGCUGCGAAGUGGGAGGCCUAUGUACACAGGCAGAAAACCCGAAACAGCUAUUCUCCUGAAGAAUUCCCUUGCUGCCGAGAAGAUGGUACACCCCGUGACUCGAAGCAACCGAGUCGACGGGCGAGGCAGAAGAGAAACCAACUGUGGAGAAAUGAAUCAGAAAAAUGGGAUGCAAAGGCAAUCAUGGCUGAACUUCCCCAGGACUGGUAAGAAUUUACAAAAAUUAAUUAAAAGAUUAACGAACACCCUUUUUCCUGGUAUACCGUUAAUUGUGCUAUUGAUAAUAACCCAAGCAGAAGGAGGAAACCCACAUGAACCAUUUAAGUGGGAACUAAUAUCUUGGGAAGGAUCGAAAACAAUAGCCACUUUUAACAGCCCAGGGCCACCUGAAUUCAUAGUAGAACUUUGUGAUUUAGUAUCGAUACCUUGUGAAAAAGGACCUCCAUUCUAUAUAUGCCCGGCCUCUGGACAGCCUUACUGCAAUUAUCCCGGGCACUAUUAUUGUGGUUAUUGGGGAUGUGAGACAAUAGCCUCGGGCUGGACAGUAAAGACUCCUGAUAAAUAUAUAAAAGCAGCCUGGACCCCUAAUGGAUGUGUACCCGAAAAUACAGGUGUAGAUCUUACAGGUCUGCGUGA
Harpia harpyja (harpy eagle) is the source of this 1233-nucleotide long non-coding RNA. RefSeq lists it as uncharacterized. The record is from RefSeq and is a predicted model, not a curated record. The transcript is spliced from 2 exons. NCBI's taxonomy places the organism in Eukaryota, Metazoa, Chordata, Aves, Accipitriformes, Accipitridae.